Molecule: RNA transcript, 3327 nt
Organism: Alnus glutinosa
Lineage: Eukaryota; Viridiplantae; Streptophyta; Magnoliopsida; Fagales; Betulaceae
Gene name: replication protein A 70 kDa DNA-binding subunit A-like
Exons: 3
Source: RefSeq, a predicted model, not a curated record
CACGUUCGGAAUUCCCCAAAAGCUAGAUAUCGCGCUUUCCCUCCCAAAAUGCCCGCCCUUCGUCUUUCCUAGGGUUAGCAAAAAUCUCUCUCUCAAAAUUUCCCACACUUUCUCUUCGUUCAAACGCCGGAAUUGGGCUUCUCUAAUGGCGAUCAAUCUGACGGAGGGUGCGAUAAUGAUGAUGUGCCGGGGAGAGCUUAAGGCGGAGGAGGUGAAGCCGGUGGUACAGGUGAUCGACGUGAAGCAGGUGAGCACUCAGGCGCAGCAGCACAGCAACACGGAGAGGUUUAGGGUUUUGCUUUCCGACGGCUCGCACCAUCAGCAGGGGAUGCUCGCAACGCAGAUGAACGCUCUUGUCAAGGACGGCAGGUUGCAGAAGGGCUCAGUCGUCCAGUUAACGCAGUUCGUCUGCAAUGUCGUCCAGAACCGCAUGAUUAUUAUCAUUGUCGAUUUGGAUUUGAUACUUGAAAGAAGUGAUCUUAUUGGAGAACCUGUAUCAGCACCAAGGACUGUGGCCGUACAUCCCUCCACUGGUCAACCAGGGACAGGAACUGGGAAUCCCCAAUCUUUUCCCGGAAGUUCACAUGCCGAUGGCGUGGUUAAUAAACCAAACAUGUCCGGUGUAUCUAUGGACCAUCCUAGAAUAAUGCAAUCACAUGGCAAUGCUUAUUCUAAUAAUUCCGGCGCAGGAGGAUAUGCUGCAUCAAAUAUGCCUUACCCUAAAGCAGAGCCUAGUGCUGGGUUUCCUGGAUCAGUGUCUCCGAGUGGGUCAUAUAGUGGUCAGAACAUGAGUUUCCGCAGUCCUAGGCCAGAAGCUUUGCGGCCGCCUCUAAAUGCCUCUUACCGUCAACCUCAACCUGCAUAUCAACAACCACCUCCAAUGUAUACUAACAGAGGACCAGUAGCUAGAAAUGAGGCUCCCCCUAGGAUAAUUCCCAUUGCUGCACUGAAUCCAUACCAAGGCAGGUGGACAAUCAAGGUUAGAGUUACAGCAAAAGGAGAACUUAAGCACUACAAUAAUCCCCGUGGUGAUGGUAAAGUAUUCUCUUUUGAUCUUCUUGAUGCUGAUGGUGGAGAAAUUCGGGCAACUUGUUUUAAUGCUGUGGCUGAUCAAUUCUACAACCAGAUUGAAGCUGGUAAGAUUUAUCUGAUUUCCAAGGGAAGUUUAAGACCUGCUCAAAAAGCUUACAACCACCUCCCAAAUGAUCAGGAAAUUUUCUUAGAGAGCACGUCAACAAUACAGCCUUGCUUUGAUGAUGACAGCUCAAUUCCACAGCAGCAAUUUCACUUCCGACCCAUUAGUGAUAUUGAAGGCAUGGAGAAGAACAGUGUUGUGGAUAUAAUUGGCAUUGUGUCUUUUAUUAGCCCACCUGCUUCAAUAAUGAGAAAAGAUGGUACUGAGACUCAGAGGAGAACCCUACACCUGAAGGACAUGUCUGGCCGAAGUGUAGAAUUAACUAUUUGGGGAAACCUUUACAAUGCAGAAGGACAGAGACUUCAAAAUAUGUGUGAUUCGGGAGUUUUCCCUGUUCUAGCGGUGAAAUCUGGUAGAGUCAAUGAAUUCAACGGGAAGGCAGUGGGGACUAUCUCUACAUCUCAAUUACUUAUAGAGCCAAAUUUUCCUGAGACUCACAGGCUGAAAGAAUGGUUUGACAAGGAAGGAAGGAACAUCCCAUCUGUGUCUAUUUCCAGGGAAACAAGUGUGGGUAGGACAGAUAUUCGAAAAACUAUAUCUCAAAUUAAAGAUGAGAGGCUGGGGACGUCAGAGAAGCCAGAUUGGAUCACUGUCAGUGCAACCAUUUCAUUCAUAAAGGUUGACAAUUUCUGCUACACCGCAUGCCCUAUUAUGAUUGGUGAUCGGCAGUGCAGCAAGAAGGUUACAAAUAAUGGGGAUGGAAAAUGGCGGUGUGAGAGGUGUGAUCAGUCCAUUGAGGAAUGUGACUACAGGUAUAUACUUCAGCUCCAGAUACAGGACCACACUGGCUUAACAUGGGUAACUGUGUUUCAGGAAUCUGGUGAGGAGAUCAUAGGUGUACCUGCAAAAACUUUGUAUUUUUUGAAGUAUGAAGAGCAAGAUGAUGAUAAAUUUGGAGAAAUCAUUCGUAAGGUUCUAUUUACUAAAUAUAUAUUCAAGUUGAAAAUAAAGGAGGAGACAUUUAGUGAUGAACAGCGUGUAAAGUCAACAGUGGUCAAAGCAGAUAAGGUAAAUUUUGCAUCUGAAUCCAGAUUUCUUUUGGAUUUGGUGGAAAAGAUCAAAGCAGGGGAUUACAGUUCUUUUGCAUCAAAUGUGCCUUCUUACCCUAAAGCAGAGCCUAGUAACACUGGAAUGAAUAAUACUAUAGCUGGGAAUAAUUACAUUGGGAAUAUUGGAAAUAGGCAACCAACACCACCGAUGGUGAACUACACUGGGAACAGUAACAGUGCUGGCAAUGUAUUUAGUGCAUCAUCACAUCACGUUGGUCAGUAUGGAAACCAGUAUAAUAGUUCUAUGGCUGCUGCAACUGGCACUCCUGGUUCAUAUCUACUCUGCAACAGUUGUGGGGGUACUGGUCAUAGCUCCUCAAAUUGCCCGAGUAUCAUGAAUGGUCCAGGACAGUCCUUGGGACAGGGCUAUGCCAACAGAGCUUCUUCCGGGCCGGGUGUUGGCGGAGCGUCUGGUGAAUGCUUCAAAUGCCAUCAAACUGGGCAUUGGGCAAGAGAAUGUCCAGGGUCGAGCUCUGUUCCUCCGGCUUAUGGAAGCAGUGGGAGAUAUGGGAGUGUUCCAAAGCAAGAACUUGGUGGCUUUUGAAAUCACCUGGAAAAUUGAGAUAGUAGAUGGUUUGUAAAGCAUGGUGCAGGUUUUCCUCAUGUUGAAUAACAGACUUGGCAUUUUGACGCUCUCUUGGGGUUUGGAUUGCUGAGUUUUUACUGUACAGCGGAGAGCUGAGACGAUGGUUAGUGUCUUGGUGUCCAUUGGAGGUCACAUUGUAAGCAUGGUUAUGGGUUCCAGCUUUAGAGUUGUAUCUGUCGGUAGUGAAACCUAGAGAGCAAGGUUGCCAUGAGUAGGACUUCGGCCAUUCUGGGAUUUGGUUAAGACCUCCAAACUCAAACUCGAAUCGAAUAAGAAGAAAAUUCGACCACAAACCUGGAACUUUCAGCCAAAUCUGUGAUGUUUGAUUCUGGACUUUUGAAAAUAGUAGCAGUCAUGACUAUUAUUACCAAUGCGGUUGAGAAUAUGGCUUAAUUAUUUGGAGUUGAUUGUAUUAUAGUUCUGGCUGUCCAAAUUUCAUUGAAUUGUGUGCAUUUUGGACAUUCAGACUUGGGUCGGUACUUCGAAAUUGUUUGAAA